Long non-coding RNA from Pocillopora damicornis (cauliflower coral), 2214 nucleotides. RefSeq lists it as uncharacterized. The record is from RefSeq and is a predicted model, not a curated record. Lineage: Eukaryota; Metazoa; Cnidaria; Anthozoa; Scleractinia; Pocilloporidae.
AAAAGAACUGCGCUGGUUCCAUCACGAGCACAUGGUUUAUGAGUGACAUCGCCCCACAAUACAACAACGCGUGGGUGGGUUUUAUGAAUGAUGUCCCACGGCCCCAGAAGCUGUUAUGCACGUGGCACGUGGAUAAGGCCAUUAACAUGGAGCUCAGAAAGAAAAUUGGCGACUUAUCUACCGAAGCAGAGAUCUAAAAAAUGUUCCGUACAGUCCUAGAGCAGACGAACCAAUCAUUUUUCGAUGAGUGUCUGCGAGCUCUUCUCCACCGGUUGGGUCUCUCCUCUAACGCUGUCGCGUUCCAUUAGUAUUUUGCCCGUGAUUGGGUCCAUCGGAAGCAUUAGUGGGCAUAUUGUUUCAGAACUGGUCUCGGAAUCAACACGAACAUGUUUGUGGAAGGCUUCCACAGAGUUUUUAAAUACAGAUAUCCUAAAAGGGAAAGUCAAGAAACGCUUAGAUAACUGCAUAUUUAAUUUAUUAAAAUAUGUUCGCGACAAGACCUUCGAUCGACUAAUCAAAGAAGCCAAGGGGAAAUCUACAGAUCGAGUAAAUAUGAUACAUGAUCGUCACUUACGGAGCCUGUCCUUACCUGUUGAGUCUGUUAACUGCGAGGAAGAUGAUACACGGACAGUUCUUGAAGAGGACAGGAGAAGUUCACAUUAAGUCUGCCGAAUAGCAAGUGCUUGUGAGGAAAGAAAUUGUGGGUUGAGAUUCUAGGGGUGCUGCGUCUGUGUUCAUCUUUAUGUCUGCAACUGCCUCGACUGCUUGAUUACAAGCACUAUUUGGAAACACAUAUAUCUCGUGAACAGAUGUUUGAAUGGUAGCUCAGUUUCUAAAGACUACCCUAGUCAGUUCCCACGCCCAGAAAAUAGUUCCAUGGAUCCUGACUACCAGGAGGCAUCUAGUGAUACUGCAUACUACGACCGUACCAACGAGAUGAACUUUCUACGAGACUGUCUUAAUUAAAGAACUGUGGGCGAGAAUAGGGAGAGUGCCAUAAAGAGGACGAAACGAUCCCUCAGAGCGAAAUUGCUCAGAAUGAUCGAUGACGUUGAAGUCUGCGAAGAUGAAGAUGUGCUGCAACAGUUGGAGAAAAGUGUCAACUCCUCUCAUAGUUUUCUCACUUCGAUCAAGCAGCACAAGCAUAUGACUAGUACAUUAUCAGCUGCUAUACCUGAAAGGAAUGCACCUGCCAACAAAAAGAUUGAGGUCCAGAAACGUUUUUUUUUUCCCACUAAACGAAAGACACAGAGGAGAAAUAUCAGAUUGGCAAAACCAACUAAGGGAGAGAAGAUGGAGAUGAUUGAGAAUUGGAAGAAUAAUGAGCAAUCAGAGCAGAACAACAUCAAAGUACCUGUAGACUUCAUAUUGCAAAACGAUAGCGCACAAAAUACGUUAGUCUUCAUUGUUUGAAAAUUUUCUACUUGCAUAUAACACCUGUCUCACCUCACCACCCGAUAAUUUCUCUUGUAAGAUUGCAGGAAAUGCUUCACUGGUUUACUGAGGAAAAACAUCAGUCCAUUAAAGAUCUGGUCAAAUCUGCCAUUAAACUGUUUCUGACGUAUUGGAUAUAGACAGGGCAUCUUUGAUAACCGGAGAGGCAAUAGAAGCUAACUUAGCAGACUUGAAGAGGUUUUUAUACAGAUGAUGCCUGGAAAGCAGUGGCAAAUUAGCCGAAAAACUGUACGAAGACUGGUUUUGCCAUCAUUGCAAACAAUCAAGGUACUUCGACAUGAUUCAGUGCGAGAGUUUCUGCCACUGGUUUGACUGGUGUUGUGCAAAAAUAGAUGAGGAGCCCGGUGAAUGGAUUUUCCCCACAUGUGAACAAAUAUCCCAGAAAAUCAGUGUUCCACGUAAAAAGCUCCCUCGAUUGAGGCCAAGCCACAUUUCUCCUGCAGAACAUACUGCAAAUUAAAAAUAUCGGUCGCAGCGUCACGCAACAUUGCGUGAUUUUCCAAACGUGACAAGCAGUUGCUGCAUUAUUUUAAAACUUACAAACUACAUGGUCCUUUAUAAAUAAAUUCAACAUAAGAAGAACGUGAUAAAACGGUCUUUCAGUUUUUAUAUCGGUGUAUAGAUUAUUUAGCUAUUCCCUGUGAGUGACUGUUUAAUACAGGUUCAACCGUAAUAUGCACUUCUGUUGUAGAGUUUGGAAGUGCAUGUACUGUAGUGUUGCUGGUGAUUGAUCCCCCCUAAUAAAGAAGUGUUAAGAGA